GCAUUUAUGGCUGAGGGGUUGAAAGCAAUGGACUCAUAAUUCAUUUUUAAUAUAAAAUAAACACCAAUGGUUCGAAUCCAUUUAAAUGCA
RNAcentral lists this transfer RNA (90 nucleotides) under Nephromyces sp. ex Molgula occidentalis. RNAcentral's name for it is "tRNA-Met". It matches the Rfam family "tRNA". Rfam says of the family: Transfer RNA (tRNA) molecules are approximately 80 nucleotides in length. Their secondary structure includes four short double-helical elements and three loops (D, anti-codon, and T loops). Further hydrogen bonds mediate the characteristic L-shaped molecular structure. tRNAs have two regions of fundamental functional importance: the anti-codon, which is responsible for specific mRNA codon recognition, and the 3' end, to which the tRNAs corresponding amino acid is attached (by aminoacyl-tRNA synthetases). tRNAs cope with the degeneracy of the genetic code in two manners: having more than one tRNA (with a specific anti-codon) for a particular amino acid; and 'wobble' base-pairing, i.e. permitting non-standard base-pairing at the 3rd anti-codon position. Lineage: Eukaryota; Apicomplexa; Aconoidasida; Nephromycida. The record is from RNAcentral.